GUAUGAAAUAAUAAAUUUUCUAAUCUAACAUAAAUUUAAUAAAUAUUAAUUUCUGAAAAAUAAGUUUUAUAUCAACUCACCAAGUAAUAGUUGAUCAUUGUUUCGAUCUUCUCGUUGCCUCCUCACUUUCAAUACCAAGAAUGUUAUUACGCUCUUGCUACAAUAAAUCAUAUCCCUUCAUAAAUGAGCCUUGAGUAUUUUCCUACCAUUAGAAAUAUUAAUUUACCAAUGGGAACUUGAUAUAUUUUAUUUUCAACUUCAUAAUCCCAAUUAAGGUCACUAACAACAUACACUCCUUCAUAUAAAUUAUUUUAUCACCAAAACCCCAAAUAUUCAACACUUAAUUUGGUUCCAAUAUUAAAAAUCCAACAAAAUUAGAUGAUUGACAAUACUAGCACUAUAAUUCUAGAAUAUUGAAAACUAGCAUCAAUAUCUGUAUACUAAAAUUUAUCACCGAAAUCAUGGACAGAAAUAGAGCUUAUCUGGGCAGAUUUUCAAAAAUAGCACCUAUACUACAAUAGCUCGAAAAUGGUUGAAAAAUUAGAGAAUUUCAACCUCAAAUCCUUAAUUUAAGUCUUUAGCAUCCUAUAAUCACAAGAAUUUCAAAGAAUAAACCUUUAUCUCACAAACUCAUUUCCAAAAUUUCCACCUUCUACAACAUCAAUAUCCAAAUAAACAUUUAUUUGCUAUAACCUU
Molecule: long non-coding RNA, 696 nt
Filed under: Olea europaea subsp. europaea
Lineage: Eukaryota; Viridiplantae; Streptophyta; Magnoliopsida; Lamiales; Oleaceae
Source: RNAcentral